Molecule: unclassified non-coding RNA, 267 nt
Filed under: Hevea brasiliensis (rubber tree)
Lineage: Eukaryota; Viridiplantae; Streptophyta; Magnoliopsida; Malpighiales; Euphorbiaceae
Source: RNAcentral
CGGCCCGCAACUGGUCCUUGUCGGCCUGGAUCUCGGCCAUCGAGAGCGGGGUCGCGGCUUCGAGGCGCUUCGUCGUCAGCCGGACCGCACGGUUAUGGACCAGCGGCACGAUCAUCAGACCGAACAGCAUCGAGACCAGAAAACCGAUCGCCAAAUACAUGAUCGGUUCGACCAUAUGUGUGACCCCUGAGCUAGAUUAAAUCGUUUUUUACCAUGCCACGGCGGGCGGGGAAAAAGCUAGCGGGACAGCGUGUUAACGUGAAUCAG